AUAGUGGCGCACGGGUGCGUAACACGUAACUAACCUACCUAUAACUGGGGGAUAGCCCGCCGAAAGGCGGAUUAAUACCGCAUAAGCUAGUUGACUCGGCAUCGGGUUAUUAGUAAAGAUUUAUUGGUUAUAGAUGGGGUUGCGGGUCAUUAGCUAGUUGGUAAGGUAACGGCUUACCAAGGCGACGAUGACUAGGGGAGCUGAGAGGCUGGUCCCCCACACGGGCACUGAGAUACGGGCCCGACUCCUACGGGAGGCAGCAGUAGGGAAUAUUGGGCAAUGGGCGAGAGCCUGACCCAGCCAUGCCGCGUGCAGGAAGAAGGCUUUCUGAGUCGUAAACUGCUUUUGACAGGGAAGGAUAAGGCUUACGUGUAGGCUGAUGACGGUACCUGCAGAAUAAGCACCGGCUAACUCCGUGCCAGCAGCCGCGGUAAUACGGAGGGUGCGAGCGUUGUCCGGAUUUAUUGGGUUUAAAGGGUGCGUAGGCGGUCCAUUAAGUCUGGGGUGAAAGCCCGCUGCUCAACAGCGGAACUGCCCUGGAUACUGGCGGACUUGAGUACAGACGAGGUUGGCGGAAUGGACUGAGUAGCGGUGAAAUGCAUAGAUACAGUCCAG
Molecule: ribosomal RNA, 615 nt
Filed under: uncultured Bacteroidota bacterium
Lineage: Bacteria; Pseudomonadati; Bacteroidota
Description: bacterial SSU rRNA
Rfam family: Bacterial small subunit ribosomal RNA
Source: RNAcentral